This 587-nucleotide ribosomal RNA is filed under the name uncultured bacterium. Its description in RNAcentral is "partial 16S ribosomal RNA". It matches the Rfam family "Bacterial small subunit ribosomal RNA", at positions 355 to 1375 of the family's 1533-position model. The record is from RNAcentral.
UGGGGAAUUUUGGACAAUUGGGCGAAAGCCUGAUCCAGCAAUGCCGCGUGUGUGAAGAAGGCCUUCGGGUUGUAAAGCACUUUUGUCCGGAAAGAAAUCCUUGGCUCUAAUACAGUCGGGGGAUGACGGUACCGGAAGAAUAAGCACCGGCUAACUACGUGCCAGCAGCCGCGGUAAUACGUAGGGUGCAAGCGUUAAUCGGAAUUACUGGGCGUAAAGCGUGCGCAGGCGGUUUGCUAAGACCGAUGUGAAAUCCCCGGGCUCAACCUGGGAACUGCAUUGGUGACUGGCAGGCUAGAGUAUGGCAGAGGGGGGUAGAAUUCCACGUGUAGCAGUGAAAUGCGUAGAGAUGUGGAGGAAUACCGAUGGCGAAGGCAGCCCCCUGGGCCAAUACUGACGCUCAUGCACGAAAGCGUGGGGAGCAAACAGGAUUAGAUACCCUGGUAGUCCACGCCCUAAACGAUGUCAACUAGUUGUUGGGGGAUUCAUUUCCUUAGUAACGUAGCUAACGCGUGAAGUUGACCGCCUGGGGAGUACGGUCGCAAGAUUAAAACUUAAAUGAAUUGACGGGGUCAUAGCUGUUUCCU